This 254-nucleotide ribosomal RNA is filed under the name uncultured bacterium. RNAcentral's name for it is "partial 16S ribosomal RNA". It matches the Rfam family "Bacterial small subunit ribosomal RNA", at positions 524 to 776 of the family's 1533-position model. The record is from RNAcentral.
GACGAACCGUGCGAACGUUAUUCGGAAUCACUGGGCUUAAAGCGCGUGUAGGCGGAUGAGCACGUCGGUCGCUGAAAUCCCCCGGCUCAACCGGGGAACGGGCGCGGAUACGGCUCGUCUCGAGGGGCGUAGGGGGACCUGGAACUUCCGGUGGAGCGGUGAAAUGCGUUGAGAUCGGAAGGAAGACCAGUGGCGAAGGCGGGUCUCUGGACAGUUCCUGACGCUGAGGCACGAAGGUCAGGGGAGCAAACGGG